GGAUGACUUAAUUCCACAGUAAACCUGGGGCUGAAGUGAAGGAAUCAAAGGAAUACACAAAAGUUAUCGGGUUUCAGCUCAGUACAAAAGGAUAAAGUGAUGACACUCUGUCGCACUGUUUAUUUUACUGCUGUAAAAAUAUCUCAGGUGUGUACGAAACACACGAUAUGUGCUGUAGGAAAGUAUUCCUGCCAAGCCCCGACCAGACAGGGAUUCAGGAAUGCCACAGGAGGCUCCCAUGAUCUCAGCCCAUGACCUGUUCCCAAAACAACAACGAGCACAAAAAUGUGAAAAAUCCUUCAAAGGAAGCAGGGGGCGAACAAUGGAGGAAGCCCUCAGCGUAAACAGCUUCCAGUGGAAUUCCCAGAUUUUGAAUGAAUCCGUGCCAAACAGGACUCGUAAGGUCACACCACCGCCCGUCCCGACCCCUCCGAAACCCCUCGCACAGCAGUCAGAGGUCCCCACCCCGUCCAUUUUGAGCACUCCCUAUCAGCUGUGCCAAGCUUUUAAUCUGCCUGGUGACAUCCCAGUGUUUCCUGCAUAGGACAGAGGGAGAGAUAAGCACACUCUUUGGAAGUCCUACCGGUGAUUCCCAAAAUGGGUCCAGUGGUGUGAAUUUCACAGAGCAUGGUUUCCUCUCGGAUAGAGGAUGUUCCCAGCCAAUCUUUCAUGGAUGGAGCAAACAGAAGUCAUCGGAACGAGGAAGUGGGGACAGGUGCUCUCUGAAGAUUCAAUGAUUGAAAGAAAGAAAGAAAAAAAAAACAGCUAGAGACAAUGGCCCACGUUUAUGUUGAGCUGCAGUAUUUUGGAUGUUAUUAAAUCAGUUUGUUGUAGGAGCUGAAAGAAUCAUGUCACUGUUUAUUUCAGUUUCUUUUAGCUGUUUACUCAAUUUUUACUCAAGUGUCUUUUCAUACUCACAAAGCAUUACCUAGCUUCUAUUGGUUUUUAACUAUGAAUCAGUUACUUAACCUAUUUCAUCAGUUUUUCUACUUCUUUAUUUACUUAUUUACUUCUUCAUUUUCUUUUAGCUAUCUGCUUAAACUAUUAUUAAUCCUUAGCUAAGUUAUUUUUAAACAAUUUCUGUUGCUUUUAGCUAAGGGCUAAUUUCUUAUAUUUAAGUAAGUAUUUCUGCUGUUAGGUUUGCUAUUUCAUCUGCAACUGAAAAUUUUGUAUUUUUUUCAGGUUUUUAUUUCAGAAAUUAUUAUUUAUUUCAGCAGUUUUUAGAUUCUGUUUCAAACAUUUAUUCCUCAUUUUUCGGUUGCUUUUCCUGAUCUAUUAAUUUGCAUUUACGUAGCCUGCUGCUUUUAAUUAUAUUUAAUUAAAUGUUGUACUUUAUGAUUACCUUUUGCUAAUUGUUUCUGUCACUUAUUAAUUGCUAUAAGCUAGCAUUUACAUUAAAUGUUUUUUUUAAUCAGUUUUACCAUAAACACGGUAGUUUUAGCUAGCUAAUUAAGCUAACCAAACAAUUAUCUAAUUUGUUAGUAUUUGUCUAUUAAAUACCUUUAGCUAUUAAACCACUUAAAUUAAGCAAACUAUUUCAGUCAAUUGUUUACUGAGUACAUUUCAGCUACAUAACUUUAUGAUUUUAUCUGGGGUUUUAAGCAAAAACGAAUGGCCAAGAAGUGUAAGUUUCCAUAUGUCAGUUAACUUGUAUUUUAUUUUAUUGUUUUCAAAGCUUCAAGCUCUCGAAGAGCUACACAGUUUUUUUUUAUGUUUUAAUCUUUUAUGGUAAGCACAUUGAGUUUACAUUUAAUGAACUGUACUGUAUAAAUAAGACUGACACUGUUUAGCUUUUCCAUGAUGAUAUUUUAGGAUAUCCAUGUAUUUUAUCUACAUUUCAUACAUUUUUGCCCUUUCAACUUUUCACUUUGCUUUUAAAGUGUAUUUUAAAUUCACGUUGUAAUUUUUCCACAUUAUUUCGAUUUUACAUUCACUUCUCAACACUGGCAUCAAAAUGAAGUUACUCAUUAAUGACUAAUCCCAUUACACAAUGUUCUUUGUUCAUCAUUGCUCACUUUCCUUACUUGUUUCUCAAGAAGGGAGCCAGCAGGGAAUCCUGUAACAAGAGGACACAAAACUUAAAGAGAGCAAAGUGUGGCUGAACACUCUGCCAACACCUUUUAGCCUCCCAAAGAAAAACACACAGCCGAGAGGAAACUGACUGCUGAUGUAGUCAUCUUAUACUCACUACCCGCCUGGACACGAGCUAAAAAUUGUCCUGAAUGCCACAAGGGGAUUCAAACAAAAGAACAGUGAGUGCUGAGCUGAUCAGGAGAGGCCUGGAGUUGAUUCAGCUCCCUGAGUCAAUUCCUGACUGUGAAACAAAUGUGCUAGCCAGUUUGAAAAAUGUUCUCUGGCACCAAACCACAAUUUUAUAAUCAGCACUAUCAGACCUAGCUUCUGUUGGCCUUAUCUUACUUAUUUCUGCUGCAACACUUUAUCAUUUCUGCAUAUUUUUUACUCUCUUUUGAAACACCUUUUUAAGAAACGAAACAAAACACCUUACGUAUGUAGGCCACCUCUGCUUUGAAGCUAGGUUGAACACUCUACACCAAUACUUUUAUACCUGCAUGCAGCAUCUUCAUGUCUUGUAAAUAUUAUUAUACUCCUUCUAUUGGCCUGUUGUUGUUGUUUCAAAUUACAUAAUGUACGUAAUGUAAAAUGAAUGAAUGUGUUAUGCAUCAUAUUUAGUUUUUUUGUGGCAAUUUUGUGAUUGUUUUCAUUUCUCUAAAUGUCCAGCUUUUUUUUGCACAAAGCAAAAAUCAUGCAAAUGAAGUUUUAAUUGUCUUGCAACCAUGCAAUUAAAAAGACUUCAAGUCAG
Molecule: long non-coding RNA, 2821 nt
Filed under: Oreochromis niloticus (Nile tilapia)
Lineage: Eukaryota; Metazoa; Chordata; Actinopteri; Cichliformes; Cichlidae
Description: lncRNA (ENSONIG00000029739.1)
Source: RNAcentral